CACGUAGUUAGCCGUCCCUUUCUGGUAAGGUACCGUCACAGUGUGAACUUUCCACUCUCACACCCGUUCUUCUCUUACAACAGAGCUUUACGAUCCGAAAACCUUCUUCACUCACGCGGCGUUGCUCGGUCAGGGUUCCCCCAUUGCCGAAGAUUCCCUACUGCUGCCUCCCGUAGGAGUCUGGGCCGUGUCUCAGUCCCAGUGUGGCCGAUCACCCUCUCAGGUCGGCUAUGUAUCGUCGCCUUGGUGAGCCGUUACCUCACCAACUAGCUAAUACAACGCAGGUCCAUCUGGUAGUGAUGCAAUUGCAUCUUUCAAUUAAUUAUCAUGCAAAUAAUCUAAUUUUAUGCGGUAUUAGCUUAUCGUUUCCAAUUAGUUACUCCCCCGCUACCCAGGCUAGGUUACCUACGUCGUUAACUCACCCGUUCGCAACUCAUCCAAGAGAGCAAGCUCCUCUCUUCAGCGUUCUACUUGCUAUGUAUUAGGCACGCCGCCAGCGUCUCUGUACG
This 509-nucleotide ribosomal RNA is filed under the name uncultured Streptococcus sp. RNAcentral describes it as "partial 16S ribosomal RNA". Lineage: Bacteria; Bacillati; Bacillota; Bacilli; Lactobacillales; Streptococcaceae. The record is from RNAcentral.